CGAAAGCCUGACGGAGCAAUACCGCGUGAGGGAGGAAGGCUUUUGGGUUGUAAACCUCUUUUCUCAAGGAAGAAAAAAAUGACGGUACUUGAGGAAUAAGCAUCGGCUAACUCCGUGCCAGCAGCCGCGGUAAUACGGAGGAUGCAAGCGUUAUUCGGAAUUAUUGGGCGUAAAGCGUCCGCAGGUGGUAUUUCAAGUCUGCUGUCAAAGACCGAAGCUUAACUUCGGAAAGGCAGUGGAAACUGAAAAGCUAGAGUACGGUAGGGGUAGAGGGAAUUCCCAGUGUAGCGGUGAAAUGCGUAGAUAUUGGGAAGAACACCAGUGGCGAAGGCGCUCUGCUGGGCCGUAACUGACACUCAUGGACGAAAGCUAGGGGAGCG
This 380-nucleotide ribosomal RNA is filed under the name uncultured cyanobacterium. Its description in RNAcentral is "bacterial SSU rRNA". It matches the Rfam family "Bacterial small subunit ribosomal RNA", at positions 376 to 770 of the family's 1533-position model. Lineage: Bacteria; Bacillati; Cyanobacteriota. The record is from RNAcentral.